Molecule: non-coding RNA, 90 nt
Organism: Caenorhabditis elegans
Lineage: Eukaryota; Metazoa; Nematoda; Chromadorea; Rhabditida; Rhabditidae
Source: Ensembl
AGAUUUCGAAAAAUAUUGAAUUUGAACAAAGUUAUGAGCUUUUAAAGUUGGUGGCCUAGAAAUUCAAAGUUAGGACACCAAUUUCAAAUG